RNAcentral lists this ribosomal RNA (2894 nucleotides) under human gut metagenome. Its description in RNAcentral is "bacterial LSU rRNA". It matches the Rfam family "Bacterial large subunit ribosomal RNA". The record is from RNAcentral.
CAAAGGGCGCAUGGUGAAUGCCUUGGCAUCAGGAGCCGAUGAAGGACGUGAUAAGCUGCGAUAAGCUUCGGGUAGGCGCACAUAGCCUGAGAUCCGAAGAUCUCCGAAUGAGGAAACUCACAUGGGAAACCCCAUGUAUCAUUAAGUGAAUACAUAGCUUAAUGAAGGUAACCCAGGGAACUGAAACAUCUAAGUACCUGGAGGAAGAGAAAGAAAAAUCGAUUUUCUUAGUAGCGGCGAGCGAAAGGGAAAGAGCCCAAACCGGAAACUUGUUUCCGGGGUUGUGGACAUGACAUAAAAGUGGAGGCUAUUGUAACUGAAGAGAACUGGAAAGUUCCACCGUAGAAGGUAAUAGUCCUGUAAGUGAAACGAGAAGACCACGAGUUAUGAUCCAGAGUACCACGAGACACGUGAAACCUUGUGGGAAGCUGGGAGGACCACCUCCCAAGGCUAAAUACUACCUGAUGACCGAUAGUGAAGCAGUACCGUGAGGGAAAGGUGAAAAGAACCCCGGGAGGGGAGUGAAAUAGAACCUGAAACCGUGUGCCUACAACCGCUCAGAGCCCCUUAUGAGGGUGAUGAGGUGCUUUUUGUAGAACGAGCCAACGAGUUACGGUAUGUAGCAAGGUUAAGUACUUAAGGUACGGAGCCGAAGGGAAACCGAGUCUGAAUAGGGCGACUAGUUGCAUGCCGUAGACCCGAAACCGGGUGACCUAUCCAUGGCCAGGUUGAAGCGAGGGUAAAACCUCGUGGAGGACCGAACCACGUUGCUGUUGAAAAAGCAUGGGAUGAGCUGUGGAUAGCGGAGAAAUUCCAAUCGAACCCGGAGAUAGCUGGUUCUCUCCGAAAUAGCUUUAGGGCUAGCGUCGAGUAUGAGUAGUGGAGGUAGAGCACUGAAUGGGCUAGGGGGCAUAGCGCUUACCGAACCUUAUCAAACUCCGAAUGCCACAUACUUUGAGCUCGGCAGUCAGACUACGAAUGAUAAGAUCCGUGGUCAAAAGGGAAACAGCCCAGAUCGUCAGCUAAGGUCCCAAAGUGUAAGUUAAGUGGGAAAGGAUGUGAGAUUUCUAAGACAACUAGGAUGUUGGCUUAGAAGCAGCCAUUCAUUAAAAGAGUGCGUAAUAGCUCACUAGUCGAGAGAUCUUGCGCCGAAAAUGUAACGGGGCUAAACUUACCACCGAAGCUACGGGCUUGAACUUAGUUCAAGCGGUAGGAGAGCGUCGUAACCGGGCUGAAGUCGUACCGUAAGGAGCGGUGGACUGGUUACGAGUGAGAAUGUUGGCAUCAGUAGCGAGAUGUGGGUGAGAAUCCCACAGGCCGAAAACCUAAGGUUUCCUCAGGAAGGUUCGUCCGCUGAGGGUUAGUCGGGACCUAAGCCGAGGCCGAAAGGCGUAGGUGAUGGACAACUGGUUGAUAUUCCAGUACCACUACCAUCGUUAUUAUCGAUGGCGUGACGCAGGAGGAUAGUGUGUGCUAGCUAUUGGAUGCUAGUCUAAGCGUUUAGGCAGUGAGAGUAGGCAAAUCCGCUCUCAUAAUGCUGAGGCGUGAUGGGGAAGGUUCUACGGAACCGAAGUACAUGAUUCCACGCUGCCAAGAAAAGCGUCUAGAGAGAGAAGUAGUGCCCGUACCGCAAACCGACACAGGUAGGUGAGGAGAGAAUCCUAAGGCCGGCGGAAGAAUUACAGUUAAGGAACUCGGCAAAUUGACCCCGUAAGUUCGCGAGAAGGGGUGCCUACGAGAGUAGGCCGCAGAGAAUAGGCCCAAGCAACUGUUUAGCAAAAACACAGGUCUCUGCUAAAGCGUAAGCUGAUGUAUAGGGGCUGACGCCUGCCCGGUGCUGGAAGGUUAAGGGGAACACUUAGCGCAAGCGAAGGUGUGAACUUAAGCCCCAGUAAACGGCGGCCGUAACUAUAACGGUCCUAAGGUAGCGAAAUUCCUUGUCAGGUAAGUUCUGACCCGCACGAAUGGCGUAAUGACUUGGGCACUGUCUCAACUGUAAAUCCGGCGAAGUUGUAGUGCGAGUGAAGAUGCUCGCUACCCGCGAUUGGACGGAAAGACCCCGUAGAGCUUUACUGUAGCUUAGCAUUGAGUUUUGGUAUUGUCUGUACAGGAUAGGUGGGAGACUAGGAAACCAGGGCGUCAGCCUUGGUGGAGUCAACCUUGGGAUACCACCCUGACAGUACUGAAAUUCUAACUGGCGGCCAUGAAUCUGGUCACAGGACAUUGUUAGGUGGGCAGUUUGACUGGGGCGGUCGCCUCCUAAAAAGUAACGGAGGCGCCCAAAGGUUCCCUCAGAACGGUCGGAAAUCGUUCGAAGAGUGCAAAGGCAGAAGGGAGCCUGACUGCGACACCCACAAGUGGAGCAGGGACGAAAGUCGGGCUUAGUGAUCCGGUGGUACCUCGUGGGAGGGCCAUCGCUCAACGGAUAAAAGCUACCUCGGGGAUAACAGGCUGAUCUCCCCCAAGAGUCCACAUCGACGGGGAGGUUUGGCACCUCGAUGUCGGCUCGUCGCAUCCUGGGGCUGAAGUAGGUCCCAAGGGUUGGGCUGUUCGCCCAUUAAAGCGGCACGCGAGCUGGGUUCAGAACGUCGUGAGACAGUUCGGUCCCUAUCCGUCGCGGGCGUAGGAAAUUUGAGAGGAGCUGUCCUUAGUACGAGAGGACCGGGAUGGACUGACCUCUGGUGUACCAGUUGUUCCGCCAGGAGCACAGCUGGGUAGCUAAGUCGGGAAUGGAUAAACGCUGAAAGCAUCUAAGCGUGAAGCCAACCUCAAGAUGAGAUUUCCCAUAGCGUAAGCUAGUAAGAUCCCUUGAAGAACACAAGGUUGAUAGGUCGGGGGUGUAAGCAUGGUAACAUGUUCAGCUGACCGAUACUAAUAGAUCGAGGGCUUGACCA